Molecule: ribosomal RNA, 497 nt
Filed under: uncultured bacterium
Lineage: Bacteria
Description: partial 16S ribosomal RNA
Rfam family: Bacterial small subunit ribosomal RNA
Source: RNAcentral
GAUGAACGCUGGCGGCGUGCCUAAUACAUGCAAGUCGAGCGAACAGACGAGGAGCUUGCUCCUCUGACGUUAGCGGCGGACGGGUGAGUAACACGUGGAUAACCUACCUAUAAGACUGGGAUAACUUCGGGAAACCGGAGCUAAUACCGGAUAAUAUAUUGAACCGCAUGGUUCAAUAGUGAAAGACGGUUUUGCUGUCACUUAUAGAUGGAUCCGCGCCGCAUUAGCUAGUUGGUAGGGUAACGGCUUACCAAGGCAACGAUGCGUAGCCGACCGGAGAGGGUGAUCGGCCACACUGGAACUGAGACACGGUCCAGACUCCUACGGGAGGCAGCAGUAGGGAAUCUUCCGCAGUGGGCGAAAGCUUGACGGAGCAACGCCGCGUGAGUGAUGAAGGUCUUCGGAUCGUAAAACUCUGUUAUUAGGGAAGAACAAAUGUGUAAGUAACUAUGCACGUCUUGACGGUACCUAAUCAGAAAGCCACGGCUAACUACGUG